RNAcentral lists this unclassified non-coding RNA (417 nucleotides) under Yarrowia lipolytica. Lineage: Eukaryota; Fungi; Ascomycota; Dipodascomycetes; Dipodascales. The record is from RNAcentral.
CGGGUUACUUGGGAUUCCCUGUGCCUUCUCAACCUCAAACAUUGAACAUUGAAGUGGAAUGUUCGAAACUUCAAAGGACUAUACAAGGAUACUUGUUUAGUAGCAGUUUAUCAGAUCGCCUUCUCGAGCUCAACUGCCAUGAUUCCGAGACCAGUACAAGAGUGGAGAGAUGAUUAAUUUUGAAUCUCGGAGCUUCUUAAUAGCCCAGAUGUAGUUUGAGGUACCCUUGAAACAUCAGCUUCCAUACAAUGUGUUUCUGGAUGAAUCUCGCCGUCAACUUUGUGCGAUGUACAGCAGACUCCAAAGGCUUCAAAGGGCUUUAAUGGGCUCCAAAGGACUGAAGGACGUUGCUGGACCUUCUAUUACACACCGGGUGUGUCUAUGUGCAGCGGUAUCUAUCUUCUCUGUCAUUGUAGU